This 208-nucleotide ribosomal RNA is filed under the name uncultured Eubacteriales bacterium. RNAcentral describes it as "uncultured Clostridiales bacterium partial 16S ribosomal RNA". It matches the Rfam family "Bacterial small subunit ribosomal RNA", at positions 568 to 774 of the family's 1533-position model. Lineage: Bacteria; Bacillati; Bacillota; Clostridia; Eubacteriales. The record is from RNAcentral.
UGCGUAGGCGGCCUGAUAAGUCAGGUGUGAAAUACCAGGGCUCAACUCUGGGGGGUGCACUUGAAACUGUCGGGCUUGAGUGCAGGAGAGGAAAGCGGAAUUCCUAGUGUAGCGGUGAAAUGCGUAGAUAUUAGAAGGAACACCAGUGGCGAAGGCGGCUUUCUGGACUGUAACUGACGCUGAGGCACGAAAGCGUGGGUAGCGAACA